CCGCGUGAGUGAAGAAGGCCUUCGGGUUGUAAAAGCUCUUUUCAAGUUGGAAAAGAAAAAGCCGUGACUAAUAAUCAUGGUUCAUGACGGUAUCAACAGAAGAAGCACCGGCUAACUACGUGCCAGCAGCCGCGGUAAUACGUAGGGUGCAAGCGUUAAUCGGAAUUACUGGGCGUAAAGGGUGCGCAGGCGGUUCUGUAAGUCAGAUGUGAAAUCCCCCGGGCUUAACCUGGGAACUGCGUUUGAAACUGCAGAGCUAGAGUGCGGCAGAGGGAGGUGGAAUUCCAUGUGUAGCAGUGAAAUGCGUAGAGAUAUGGAAGAACAUCGAUGGCGAAGGCAACCUCCUGGGCUAGCACUGACGCUCAUGCACGAAAGCGUGGGGAGCAAACAGGAUUAGAUACCCUGGUAGUCCACGCCCUAAACUAUGUCAACUAGUUGUCGGGCCUUAAUAGGCUUGGUAACGUAGCUAACGCGUGAAGUUGACCGCCUGGGGAGUACGGUCGCAAGAUUAAAACUCAAAGGAAUUGACGGGGU
This 534-nucleotide ribosomal RNA is filed under the name uncultured bacterium. RNAcentral's name for it is "bacterial SSU rRNA". It matches the Rfam family "Bacterial small subunit ribosomal RNA", at positions 397 to 919 of the family's 1533-position model. The record is from RNAcentral.